UACGUAGGGUGCAAGCGUUAAUCGGAAUUACUGGGCGUAAAGCGUGCGCAGGCGGUUUUGUAAGUCUGUCGUGAAUCCCCGGGCUCAACCUGGGAAUUGCGAUGGAGACUGCAAGGCUAGAAUCUGGCAGAGGGGGGUAGAAUUCCACGUGUGAGCAGUGAAAUGCGUAGAGAUGUGGAGGAACACCGAUGGCGAAGGCAGCCCCCUG
Molecule: ribosomal RNA, 208 nt
Filed under: uncultured bacterium
Lineage: Bacteria
Description: partial 16S ribosomal RNA
Rfam family: Bacterial small subunit ribosomal RNA
Source: RNAcentral